GUGGGGAUAGCUUAGUUGGGAGAGCAUCAGACUGAAGAUCUGAAGGUCAUUUAUUCGAUCCACGCC
This is a transfer RNA of Lupinus angustifolius (narrow-leaved blue lupine), 66 nucleotides long. It matches the Rfam family "tRNA". From Rfam's summary of the family: Transfer RNA (tRNA) molecules are approximately 80 nucleotides in length. Their secondary structure includes four short double-helical elements and three loops (D, anti-codon, and T loops). Further hydrogen bonds mediate the characteristic L-shaped molecular structure. tRNAs have two regions of fundamental functional importance: the anti-codon, which is responsible for specific mRNA codon recognition, and the 3' end, to which the tRNAs corresponding amino acid is attached (by aminoacyl-tRNA synthetases). tRNAs cope with the degeneracy of the genetic code in two manners: having more than one tRNA (with a specific anti-codon) for a particular amino acid; and 'wobble' base-pairing, i.e. permitting non-standard base-pairing at the 3rd anti-codon position. Lineage: Eukaryota; Viridiplantae; Streptophyta; Magnoliopsida; Fabales; Fabaceae. The record is from Rfam.